CCCUUAGAUGUUCUGGGCCGCACGCGCGCUACACUGAUGCAUUCAACGAGCCUAUCCUUGACCGACAGGUCCGGGUAAUCUUUGAAUCUGCAUCGUGACGGGGAUAGAUUAUUGCAAUUAUUAAUCUUCAACGAGGAAUGCCUAGUAGGCGCAAGUCAUCAGCUUGCGUCGAUUACGUCCCUGCCCUUUGUACACACCGCCCGUCGCUCCUACCGAUUGGGUGUGCUGGUGAAAUGUUCGGAUCGGCCGUUUGUCGCGGUUUCCGCGCCAUGUGGCUGAGAAGUUCAUUAAACCCUCCCACCGAGAGGAAGGAGAAGUCGUAACA
Molecule: ribosomal RNA, 325 nt
Filed under: uncultured eukaryote
Lineage: Eukaryota
Description: partial 18S ribosomal RNA
Rfam family: Eukaryotic small subunit ribosomal RNA
Source: RNAcentral